GGGAGAGGUGGCUUGUGUGGGGGGAGGAGACUUUGGGAUCGUGCUCUGCUGAUCUUCCCUGCUUGCAGUCAAGGAGGGUGGGGACUGUCACCUGGGGCAGAAGGGAAAGGUGACUUUGCUGGGGGGGACAGAGGGAUGUGUUUGUGGCUGCAGUGCACACCUGGUCCAGAAUGCUCUGAACGCCUCCAGGAAAAGGCUUACUAGGGGGGAAAAAAAAAAAAAACAGCUAAAGACACACAGGACUCAGAGCACAAGAAUAUCCCGAAUGCAUUAUAUAAUGUGCUCCAUUCAAAGGAACAUUGUGAACCAACUUAGGAAGAGGAUCUUUUAAAAUGGCUUUCCUAAAAAUACUCCUCGGAAUGGGUCACAGGCUUGGAGCACCUGCCUGCAGAAAGUCCGGUUCCAGCACGUAGGUCGUGGACGGCGCUUGUGAGAGGCCCAGAAGGCCCUGUUCCUUAGCCCUGGUGGAGCACAGCAUGAGGUGGAGGGUGUGCAGGAAGGGGCUUUGGGGGGCCUUUCCGCCUUAUCUCGCGUCCCCCAGACCCCUCUCACUGGCCUCGUAAAGAAGCAGAUGGCGCCCCAGGAAUAGCUCCGAAAUCACGCUGGCUCCUGGCUGAAUGCAGAGGAAGGAUCAGGACCAUAAAGAUUUGAAAUCUCCCAGGAAAGGAAAUUAUUUCCUCCGUGAAAUUAUCGAUGGAAGGGGAGCAUUUAAAGAGACAGAAAUUACGAACCCCGAUUCAAGUUGAACCAGAUACUGCACUUUAACCUUUUUGAGACUCGUUAAUUUAAAAGCAAAUAGAAUGAAAUAUAGACUAUAAAAGCAAAUUAAAUCAUUUUUACACUUGCUGGGUUUUUGUGUCACGGGAUUGGAAAAGCUAAUCGAGAGAAGAGCGGCUUUUGGACAGAGGACCGUGGGGCUCGUGUCAGAUCAAGCCGAGGCAGUGAUCCUUCAGCAGCGGAGCGCAGCAGGCCGGCAGGGGCCCGGCUGGAGAGCCCCGCGGAGCCCCCUCUUAAGACCCAUCCCAGGUCUGACCAGAGCGAGCAGAGGUUUAAGGAGCGAGCAGAGGUUUAAGGAGCGUGUCUCUGAUUGAUGUGGGUGGAGCCCCGCCCCAGCAGUGGAUGUUUUAUGUGGAGGUGGGGGAAGCCGGGACCGUAGGUUACAUGUAUCUACCUGCAGGAAUAAAUCAUUCUUUUGAAACAUCACUAGAAGGGAGGGGGAGAGAAAAAAAAGCUGAAGAUUUAUCUGAAAAGGAAGUGGGACGUUAAAGUUGCUGGAGAUCUCAUUACUGUCUGUCUCGCUCACCGUAAUUAAAAAAUGCCUGAAUGAUCUUAAUAACACAUGAUUCAGCUGACACGCACUAAUUGCCCUGCAUCAGGCCAAGAGGAGAUGAAUGCUGUCAAGAAAACCACAAGUCAGACAAGCUGAUUCUCUCUUAGUCUGACACCGUGUUCCCAUGUACAGACCAGUUUUUACUGGAGCCCUUCCAGCAUCGAAAGCAGCUCUUCACCUUCCCAUUAAUUUCCAUCGCUGGCAGGCCCGGGUUGUCUGUGGCGCGCCGUUCCCAUCCCUCCUGCCUGCCGGCUCGAGAGCUCGGGUCUGCAGACGAGAUGUAAAUAUGUUUCUUGCUCUUAUCUUGGUCCUUUUCAAGAAAAGAAAUCCGUUCCCAUUCAAUACGAAUGCCCCGGUGGGCUUGUCAGUGAAUUACGUGGCAUUUGGGGAUUGAUUUUCUGACGCCGCCGAUUUGUCAAGACUUUCUCGUGCCGUUUCAGCGAUUCGACGGAACCUGUUGGACCCCCCGCAUCCUGUGGUCGGUCCUCUGGCCGCAAAGAAAAGGGAAGCGGGGCCCUGUUGCCUGGGCGUCUGGAAGCCUCCUUACAGGGCCCAAUUUUGAGGAAGGAAGGGAGGAUACUGGCGUUGCUGCAGGACAGCUGAGUCAUUCUGUCACUCCAGGACAAAAUCGCAGCCCGGGUCCAGUGCAGCGCCGGUCCCCAAAGAAGGCCGAGCGCCGCUCCGCCCGGGCAGCGCGCUGGGGAGGAGGGUCUGUGGCAGCAACAGCGCCCUUGCUGUCCUUGGCCACCCACCGCCUGCUCUCACGUCUUGGUCCUCUGGCGCCAGGCCCUGUGCCGGGGGGGAGGCUCCUGUAACAGGGAGGGAGCUGCCGGGCAGGCCUCUGCAGGAAGACGAGGCACAGCCCACUGAGUCCGGGCCAGACCAGCAUCUUCCGCAGCAGAAGCCGUGUCUGUCCCCGCCCUCCCGAGAGGCAGGCCGACUGGGCAUGGAGAGAUUGGCCCAGAAGGCUGGGAGCUGGGCUCCGGCUGUGGGACCCAGGGCCCGGUCCUGGAUGUCUCUGAGCCAGCAUCCCCGUCUGAGAAAGGUCCCCUGAGGGCCGCGGUGAAGUCCACACCAGGGCACGCCCAUUGCAGUGCCGCGCGUAUGGGCCUGGCAGCGUCACCCCCAAGGCUCGGGGUUUAGAUGAGAGGGUUCACGUGGCCUCGAGUUGCACGUGUCCAGGGCACAGUCAGUUGCUGAGAAAGGAACUGACCUACAGCAAGAGGCGGAUAAACCUAGCAAGAAAUGAGCAGAGCACAGCGAGCCAUUCCGUCCACUGACGGACUCAGGCCACCAGGUGCUCCCUGCUGGAGGGGGUGCCCGGAGCCACCCCACGCCGAUCUUUGGGGCUCCCCUGAUUAGCGAAGAUAUCCCUUACCAGAGAGCUCUUUUCCUGAAACGAAAAUGAAGUGACAAUGUGUGAUGGCUCUCAGAUACUGUCAGUGUGACUUAGUUGUAGGAAAAAAAAUCCUGAAGGAAACGGUGGGUGGACAUAAAGCCAGGCGCCCUCUCUGGUGUCCCUUCAGAACCUGCGCUUGGCAGCCCCUCCCUUUUAUCACCUUUUGACUUGGAAACUCAGGGCCUUUCUCUGUGCCCCGCCCACCACGGGUAGCCCUUCGUGCGCAUGUUUAGGAAGAAGCUGCAAAAGAAUCUGUNGGGCUCGCUGCUCUGAGCUGCUCUUUCCUUCUUGAUGGGAAGGAAAACAGCUUUCUUGAUGACCUGAUGGCCUUCAGAGUCCCUGGAGGCCCCACCUCCCCCCAGGGCAGUGGACAGAGGGGCCCCCGACUCCCCCACCAUGAGGGUGUCCGGGAUUCGAAAGUCAGGGGUGAAAGCUUUGCAGACCUCCUCGGCCCCGCUGGUUCUGGGCUUUGCACGUGACAGCAGCUCUGCUCGGUGGUUGCCGCCUCGGUCGUUUAAUUCGUGCGUAGCCCCCGAGUCCCUGGAAACCGGGACUCCAGAAUCCAGAUCAGCAACCAGUUCCAAAGCUCAGCCUUGCGGGCUCAGCUCGCCAGUUUUAGGCAGUGAAGAGGAUGGCUGUUAUUUAAACUUCGUAUGUCACUGAUUUUUCAUAUGUAGGAGUGGCACUCAUCACCUUUUUUUUUUUAAUCAAGUUAUUUAUAUCAUGGGGCGAGUCUGUCACACGGUCUGAACGCAGAACGUUGCCAUCCUUGUCAUCAGAAUCCUGCCAGUAAUUUCUGUUUACAGUAGAGCUAUUGAAAAGUAUAUUGGGAUGAAACAUAAGUUGUUGGCUUGCGUGAGGUUUUUAUAAUGUGCACAUACAGAUAAAGUUGGCUUUCGUUCCGAAGGCUGUGUCUCGUUCUUGUUGCGCUUUUAUUAGCUAAAGUGGCAGGGUCCCCACGGCCCCCCGUGGCCUGCCAGGUGCCACUGGGAAAUAGGGGGAAUGGGGUCCCCAGCUGUGGACCUCGGCAUCCCGCCUUAUCUGUAGAGUCGUCCUGUUGGGAGUCUAGAAACUUCUGAUUGCAGAACUCCUUUUUCCUCUCCAUCUCCUUCCAUAAUUGCUGCAGGUCAUCGUUGAACCGCCCCCCCCCCCGGCCCCCCCCAGGGUAGGAGCCCCACGGAGCCCCUGGGCCGGCAGCGGGCAGGCUUCCGCAAGGGAGCCAAACAGCCCACAGGCGGGGCUUUGAGACAAAACCCCACGUGGUGGUCAGUUUCAUGGAUUACAGUUAAUUCUGUUUAAUGUCCUUUUUCCUUCCUUUUUGCCAAGUCCUGUGCCUUAUUAGAACAUCGACUUUAGCAUAGAAGUGCUUAAAACUUAUUUGGCGCUUCGAUAGAUGUGACACCACAAACGUCGGAUAAACGGGAUUUGUUCUAAUGAGAUCUUAGUGAUUCUUGGCCGUUCCUCCCGCCUCUUGUGGAAUCCUGGCCCGUCCCCCGCCUAGUUCUGGUGGUGCUGGAGCGGCCAGAAGGCCCCUCUCUGGAAGCCUUCCUCACUUCCUCACUGGGUUUCAGGCCCCGUGAAGCACUGCCCCCUCCCCUCCCCUCCCUGUGCCCUCUGCUCCUGGGCCUAUUUCUGUGAUUUGCAUGUAGCGGAAAUAUUUGUUGAACGGAAUUAUUUUUACACAUGGGCCUUUCAUGUGGCCACCGUUUGAGGUCUGUUUCCUUUGGCUGGAGGCUGGGAGAAGCCUUCCAGCGCCCCGGGAGUGCCAGUGGCUCCAGGUACAGGAUGCCCUGCUCGGGGCUGGAUGUGCCUUGUCUCCCCUGGAGGACCCCCAGCUGGGGGUGGGAGGCUGAGCGCCCCCAUCUCCCCCGUCCCCACUGCAGCGUUCAGGGCCUCUAGGAGGCCUGCGGAUUGACCCUUUUGGGGCACUGAGGGGAGGGGGAGAGGGGGGACUCAGAGCGGGAGGGAUCUGCCCAGGGGACCCCUGACCACAGGCCCCUUGUCCUUAAAGGCCCCAGUCUCGCUGUCGAGAUUUCCUUUUGGUUUCUCAUCAGUUAUUGAAGAAAUACCUAUGUUUUCCGAGGGUCUGUCGCCCGGCCCUUUCUGAUGAGGCUGUGGGCGUCAAGGACGAGUAGGCCCGGCUCGCCCUUCGAGUACCUCCUCUGGGUCGGGGCUGCUCCGAGGGCAUCACACCUUCUCACUCAGCCAGUCCUCGCCAGCUUCGUUCACAGAGGGGCCGGUGCUCAGCGGGCCCCGUGUCCCCAUCCCCCUGGGGAGGGAAGAUGAGCCCGGAGAGGCAGGAGGAGGGUUUCCUGAGCCUCCCAGCUCCUGUGGACCUGAGCCCGCUGUGCUGAGGACCUUCUGGAAUGUCACUCCCCCCCCCGGGGACCCUCUAGUGACCCAACACCCCCGAGAUGCUGCAGCGUCGUCGUCGUGGAGGGAGCCGCCUGGCUCUCCUUCCUCCCACGGCCUCUGGGUCACUUUGUCCUGCUGCCAUUUGGAGGCAGCUUGAGGCUCACAAGCACUUUCUGGCCCGCAGGGUCCUAUGCUGCUCCCCAGUGACAACGGAGCCCCUGGACACAGCCGCACCACCGCCCCCGCCCAUCCCAGCUGCAGGUCAGAGAAAGCACCUGUGCCCAGGAGCCCGUGUUCUUGCACCACAGGGAGUCACCUUGGGGCUGGAGGGCACCGCAGGUGCAGCUUUAGAGGGGCUCUGCUGGCAGAAAUUUCUAGGAGGCACAGCUCUGAGCGGGCAGCAGAGAUGCUAGGGCCAGUUCCUCUCCUCUUCCUGACACGGGCAAUAUCUCACCUCUCUUUUCAGCUGCUCGCUCCUCGUCCCCUCUCUUUCUGGACUCUGCGCUCACAAAGAGGGCAAGAGCCCCCGGCACACUGGGGUCAGUGUCAGGCCCACUCGCAGGAACCCAAGGCUGUCCCCUGAUCCUGAUGGGGGCCUCUGGGAGCUGAUAGGCAGGGCGGAGUCCAAACUGCCAUGUGCACAGGCCAGGAAAACAAGUGUCCGGCUCUGGGACUUGGUCUCCUGAGGCGUUUCUUGCUCUUCCUACCCAGGGAAUGAAAAGCCAGGUCCUACCACUUUGGUGAUGAAAAUGACCUUUAUUUUGCCUGGGAGCUUACAAGUUUUAGGUGUCCAGUGUGUGCAUGCAGCUAUCACGGAUGUGUGCUCCCUCCAGACACGUCCAGUGCCAGGAAACUGACGUGUGAAGUUGAAUUUAGGGACUGAAAGGCUAAAGCUCAUUGAAGGUUGAGUCAGUAAGUUCAGGCAGUAAACAUUUCUGAGUGUUUUCCUUGAACCUGGCACUUUGCUUGUCUCUUUUAAUUCCAUGGGCUAAUAAAAUGAAAUCCAUAUUUGCUUAGAAAUAUCUGUAUACUCGUAUUUACUCAUAAAUAAAGGUAGGAGUUCCUGUCGUGGCUCAGUGGUUAAUGAAUCUCACCAGGAACCAUGAGGUUGCGGGUUCGAUCCCCGGCCUCGCUCAGUGGGUUAAGGAUCUGGCGUUGCCAUGAGCUGUGGUGUAGGUCACAGACAGGGCUCGGAUCCCGUGUUGUUGCGGCUGUGGUGUAGGCCGGCAGCUACGGCUCCGAUUGGACCCCUAGCCUGGGAACCUUCACAUGCCGCGGGUGCGGCCCUAGAAAAGGC
RNAcentral lists this long non-coding RNA (6381 nucleotides) under Sus scrofa (pig). RNAcentral describes it as "lncRNA (ENSSSCG00015012077.1)". Lineage: Eukaryota; Metazoa; Chordata; Mammalia; Artiodactyla; Suidae. The record is from RNAcentral.